This 444-nucleotide ribosomal RNA is filed under the name uncultured bacterium. RNAcentral's name for it is "partial 16S ribosomal RNA". It matches the Rfam family "Bacterial small subunit ribosomal RNA", at positions 354 to 796 of the family's 1533-position model. The record is from RNAcentral.
GUAGGGAAUAUUGGGCAAUGGUCGGAAGACUGACCCAGCCAUGUCGCGUGCAGGAAGACGGCCCUCUGGGUUGUAAACUGCUUUUAUCUGGGAAGAAAAAGGCCAUGCGUGGCAAAUUGCCGGUACCAGAUGAAUAAGCACCGGCUAACUCCGUGCCAGCAGCCGCGGUAAUACGGAGGGUGCGAGCGUUGUCCGGAUUUAUUGGGUUUAAAGGGUGCGUAGGCGGCUGAUUAAGUCAGCGGUGAAAGACUUCGGCUUAACCGGAGCAGUGCCGUUGAUACUGGUUGGCUUGAGUGUCGGAGGGGUACAUGGAAUUGAUGGUGUAGCGGUGAAAUGCAUAGAUACCAUCAGGAACACCGAUAGCGAAGGCAUUGUACUGGCCGACAACUGACGCUGAUGCACGAAAGUGUGGGGAUCGAACAGGAUUAGAAACCCGAGUAGUCC